This 492-nucleotide ribosomal RNA is filed under the name uncultured bacterium. RNAcentral describes it as "partial 16S ribosomal RNA". It matches the Rfam family "Bacterial small subunit ribosomal RNA", at positions 29 to 507 of the family's 1533-position model. The record is from RNAcentral.
AGUGAACGCUGGCGGUAGGCCUAACACAUGCAAGUCGAACGGCAGCACAGUAAGAGCUUGCUCUUACGGGUGGCGAGUGGCGGACGGGUGAGGAAUAAAUCGGAAUCUACUUUUUCGUGGGGGAUAACGUAGGGAAACUUACGCUAAUACCGCAUACGACCUACGGGUGAAGGCAGGGGAUCUUCGGACCUUGCGCGAUUGAAUGAGCCGAUGUCGGAUUAGCUAGUUGGCGGGGUAAAGGCCCACCAAGGCGACGAUCCGUAGCUGGUCUGAGAGGAUGAUCAGCCACACUGGAACUGAGACACGGUCCAGACUCCUACGGGAGGCAGCAGUGGGGAAUAUUGGACAAUGGGCGCAAGCCUGAUCCAGCCAUACCGCGUGGGUGAAGAAGGCCUUCGGGUUGUAAAGCCCUUUUGUUGGGAAAGAAAAGCAGCAGGUUAAUACCCCGCUGUUCUGACGGUACCCAAAGAAUAAGCACCGGCUAACUUCGUG